RNAcentral lists this unclassified non-coding RNA (353 nucleotides) under soil metagenome. Its description in RNAcentral is "partial contains 5.8S ribosomal RNA, internal transcribed spacer 2, and large subunit ribosomal RNA". The stretch from base 1 to 120 matches the Rfam family "5.8S ribosomal RNA", at positions 35 to 154 of the family's 154-position model. The record is from RNAcentral.
GAUGAAGAACGUAGCGAAAUGCGAUAAGUAGUGUGAAUUGCAGAUUUCAGUGAAUCAUCGAAUCUUUGAACGCACAUUGCGCCCGCGAGUAUUCUCGCGGGCAUGCCUGUCCGAGCGUCAUUUCAACCCUCAGGGCCCGCCUGCUUCGGCAGGCGCGGCGCUGGUGUUGGGGAUCGGCCUAACCGCCGUCCCCCAAAUACAGUGGCGGUCUCGCUGCAGCCUCCCCUGCGUAGUAGCAACACUCGCAUGCGGAGCGCGGCGCGGCCACGCCGUAAAACCCCCGACUUUCUGAACGUUGACCUCGGAUCAGGUAGGAAUACCCGCUGAACUUAAGCAUAUCAAUAAGCGGAGGA